CGUACACUCCGGGAGGCAGCAGUGGGGAAUAUUGGACAAUGGGCGCAAGCCUGAUCCAGCCAUGCCGCGUGAGUGAUGAAGGCCCUAGGGUUGUAAAGCUCUUUCACCGGUGAAGAUAAUGACGGUAACCGGAGAAGAAGCCCCGGCUAACUUCGUGCCAGCAGCCGCGGUAAUACGAAGGGGGCUAGCGUUGUUCGGAUUUACUGGGCGUAAAGCGCACGUAGGCGGACUAUUAAGUCAGGGGUGAAAUCCCGGGGCUCAACCCCGGAACUGCCUUUGAUACUGGUAGUCUUGAGUUCGAGAGAGGUGAGUGGAAUUCCGAGUGUAGAGGUGAAAUUCGUAGAUAUUCGGAGGAACACCAGUGGCGAAGGCGGCUCACUGGCUCGAUACUGACGCUGAGGUGCGAAAGCGUGGGGAGCAAACAGGAUUAGAAACCCGAGUAGUCCCA
RNAcentral lists this ribosomal RNA (448 nucleotides) under uncultured organism. Its description in RNAcentral is "partial 16S ribosomal RNA". It matches the Rfam family "Bacterial small subunit ribosomal RNA", at positions 330 to 797 of the family's 1533-position model. The record is from RNAcentral.